GCACUGAAGCUUCCCGUUGGGGGUGAACACGUGGUCGUCUCCGCCAUUUUGUUUCACUUACAUACGGGCUAUGACAUACAUUUGG
This is a long non-coding RNA of Haliotis rubra (blacklip abalone), 85 nucleotides long. RefSeq lists it as uncharacterized. The record is from RefSeq and is a predicted model, not a curated record. The transcript has 3 exons. NCBI's taxonomy places the organism in Eukaryota, Metazoa, Mollusca, Gastropoda, Lepetellida, Haliotidae.